CUACGGGAGGCUGCAGUGAGGAAUAUUGCACAAUGGGGGGAACCCUGAUGCAGCAACGCCGCGUGGAGGAUGACGCAUUUCGGUGUGUAAACUCCUUUUAUAUGUCAAGAAAAUGACGGUAGCAUAUGAAUAAGCACCGGCUAACUCCGUGCCAGCAGCCGCGGUAAUACGGAGGGUGCAAGCAUUACUCGGAAUCACUGGGCGUAAAGGACGCGUAGGCGGGUUGGAAAGUCAGGUGUGAAAGCCUACAGCUUAACUGUAGAACUGCACUUGAAACUUCUAAUCUAGAGUAUGGGAGGGGGAGAUGGAAUUAGUGGUGUAGGGGUAAAAUCCGUAGAUAUCACUAGGAAUACCUAAAGCGAAGGCGAUCUCCUGGAACAUUACUGACGCUAAGGCGUGAAAGCGUGGGGAGCAAACAGGAUUAGAUACCCGCGUAGUC
This 439-nucleotide ribosomal RNA is filed under the name uncultured bacterium. RNAcentral's name for it is "partial 16S ribosomal RNA". It matches the Rfam family "Bacterial small subunit ribosomal RNA", at positions 339 to 795 of the family's 1533-position model. The record is from RNAcentral.